This 497-nucleotide ribosomal RNA is filed under the name uncultured bacterium. Its description in RNAcentral is "partial 16S ribosomal RNA". It matches the Rfam family "Bacterial small subunit ribosomal RNA", at positions 28 to 507 of the family's 1533-position model. The record is from RNAcentral.
GAUGAACGCUGGCGGCGUGCCUAAUACAUGCAAGUCGAGCGAACGGACGAGAAGCUUGCUUCUCUGAUGUUAGCGGCGGACGGGUGAGUAACACGUGGAUAACCUACCUAUAAGACUGGGAUAACUUCGGGAAACCGGAGCUAAUACCGGAUAAUAUUAUGAACCGCAUGGUUCAAUAGUGAAAGACGGUCUUGCUGUCACUUAUAGAUGGAUCCGCGCUGCAUUAGCUAGUUGGUAAGGUAACGGCUUACCAAGGCAACGAUGCAUAGCCGACCUGAGAGGGUGAUCGGCCACACUGGAACUGAGACACGGUCAAGACUACUACGGGAGGCAGCAGUAGGGAAUCUUCCGCAAUGGGCGAAAGCCUGACGGAGCAACGCCGCGUGAGUGAUGAAGGUCUUCGGAUCGUAAAACUCUGUUAUUAGGGAAGAACAUAUGUGUAAGUAACUGUGCACAUCUUGACGGUACCUAAUCAGAAAGCCACGGCUAACUACGUG